ACAUCCUGGUUGGGACAUUGGAUAAGAUUUCCAUUAAAUCUCUUCCACUCCGCAUAUAAAGGCUCUCUAUUCAAUUGAUGAAAGUUUGUGAUUUCUUCACGCAAUUG
RNAcentral lists this small nucleolar RNA (107 nucleotides) under Capsicum annuum. Its description in RNAcentral is "Plant small nucleolar RNA R71". It matches the Rfam family "Plant small nucleolar RNA R71". From Rfam's summary of the family: R71 is a member of the C/D box family of snoRNAs containing the C (UGAUGA) and D (CUGA) box motifs. Multiple nearly identical copies of this snoRNA have been identified in Arabidopsis, and it is thought to function as a 2'-O-ribose methylation guide for 18S ribosomal RNA. The record is from Rfam by way of RNAcentral. Lineage: Eukaryota; Viridiplantae; Streptophyta; Magnoliopsida; Solanales; Solanaceae.